ACGGGUGAGUAACACGUAGGUAACCUGCCUCUAAGACUGGGAUAACUAUCGGAAACGAUAGCUAAGACCGGAUAACUGGUUUUCUCGCAUGAGAGAAUCAUAAAACACGGAGCAAUCUGUGGCUUGAAGAUGGGCCUGCGGCGCAUUAGCUAGUUGGUGAGGUAACGGCUCACCAAGGCGACGAUGCGUAGCCGACCUGAGAGGGUGAACGGCCACACUGGGACUGAGACACGGCCCAGACUCCUACGGGAGGCAGCAGUAGGGAAUCUUCCGCAAUGGACGCAAGUCUGACGGAGCAACGCCGCGUGAGUGAUGAAGGUUUUCGGAUCGUAAAGCUCUGUUGCCCUAGACGAACAGCAAGGAGAGUAACUGCUCUUUGUGUGACGGUAUAGGAGAAGAAAGCCCCGGCUAACUACGUGCCAGCAGCCGCGGUAAUACGUAGGGGGCAAGCGUUGUCCGGAAUUAUUGGGCGUAAAGCGCGCGCAGGCGGUCAUUUAAGUCUGGUGUUUAAUCCUGGGGCUCAACCCCAGUUCGCAUCGGAAACUGGAUGACUUGAGUGUAGGAGAGGAAAGUGGAAUUCCACGUGUAG
RNAcentral lists this ribosomal RNA (589 nucleotides) under uncultured bacterium. RNAcentral describes it as "bacterial SSU rRNA". It matches the Rfam family "Bacterial small subunit ribosomal RNA", at positions 102 to 678 of the family's 1533-position model. The record is from RNAcentral.